CCUACGGGAGGCAGCAGUGGGGAAUCUUGCGCAAUGGGCGAAAGCCUGACGCAGCCAUGCCGCGUGAAUGAUGAAGGUCUUAGGAUUGUAAAAUUCUUUCACCGAGGACGAUAAUGACGGUACUCGGAGAAGAAGCCCCGGCUAACUUCGUGCCAGCAGCCGCGGUAAUACGAAGGGGGCUAGCGUUGCUCGGAAUUACUGGGCGUAAAGGGAGCGUAGGCGGAUAGUUUAGUCAGAGGUGAAAGCCCAGGGCUCAACCUUGGAAUUGCCUUUGAUACUGGCUAUCUUGAGUACGGAAGAGGUAUGUGGAACUCCGAGUGUAGAGGUGAAAUUCGUAGAUAUUCGGAAGAACACCAGUGGCGAAGGCGACAUACUGGUCCGUUACUGACGCUGAGGCUCGAAAGCGUGGGGAGCAAACAGGAUUAGAUACCCUGGUAGUCCACGCUGUAAACGAUGAGUGCUAGUUGUCGGCAUGCAUGCAUGUCGGUGACGCAGCUAACGCAUUAAGCACUCCGCCUGGGGAGUACGGUCGCAAGAUUAAAACUUAAAGGAAUUGACGG
RNAcentral lists this ribosomal RNA (560 nucleotides) under uncultured bacterium. RNAcentral's name for it is "bacterial SSU rRNA". It matches the Rfam family "Bacterial small subunit ribosomal RNA", at positions 338 to 916 of the family's 1533-position model. The record is from RNAcentral.